RNAcentral lists this ribosomal RNA (268 nucleotides) under uncultured bacterium. RNAcentral's name for it is "partial 16S ribosomal RNA". It matches the Rfam family "Bacterial small subunit ribosomal RNA", at positions 793 to 1055 of the family's 1533-position model. The record is from RNAcentral.
GUCCACGCCCUAAACGAUGUCUACUAGUUGUUGGGAGAGUAAAAUCUCUUAGUAACGCAGCUAACGCGUGAAGUAGACCGCCUGGGGAGUACGGUCGCAAGAUUAAAACUCAAAGGAAUUGACGGGGCCCGCACAAGCGGUGGAUUAUGUGGAUUAAUUCGAUGCAACGCGAAAAACCUUACCUGGCCUUGACAUGCUACUAACGAAGCAGAGAUGCAUUAGGUGCCCGAAAGGGAAAGUAGACACAGGUGCUGCGGAUGGCUGUCGU